RNAcentral lists this ribosomal RNA (450 nucleotides) under uncultured bacterium. RNAcentral's name for it is "bacterial SSU rRNA". It matches the Rfam family "Bacterial small subunit ribosomal RNA", at positions 29 to 524 of the family's 1533-position model. The record is from RNAcentral.
AACGAACGCUGGCGGCAGGCCUAACACAUGCAAGUCGAACGCACCGCAAGGUGAGUGGCGCACGGGUGAGUAACACGUGGGAAUGUACCCUUGGUUCGGAAUAACGUUUGGAAACGAACGCUAAUACCGGAUGAGCCCUGUGGGGAAAGAUUAUCGCCAAAGGAGCAGCCCGCGUCUGAUUAGCUAGUUGGUGGGGUAAAGGCCUACCAAGGCGACGAUCGAGUAGGCUGGUCUGAGAGGAUGAUCAGCCACACUGGGACUGAGACACGGCCCAGACUCCUACGGGAGGCAGCAGUGGGGAAUAUUGGACAAUGGGCGGAAGCCUGAUCCAGCCAUGCCGCGUGAGUGAUGAAAGGGCCUUCGGGUUGUAAAAGCUCUUUCGCACGCGACGAUGAUGACGGUAGCGUGAGAAGAAGCCCCGGCUAACUUCGUGCCAGCAGCCGCGGUAAU